AUUGAACGCUGGCGGCAGGCCUAACACAUGCAAGUCGAGCGGAUGAAGGGAGCUUGCUCCUGGAUUCAGCGGCGGACGGGUGAGUAAUGCCUAGGAAUCUGCCUGGUAGUGGGGGAUAACGUCCGGAAACGGGCGCUAAUACCGCAUACGUCCUGAGGGAGAAAGUGGGGGAUCUUCGGACCUCACGCUAUCAGAUGAGCCUAGGUCGGAUUAGCUAGUUGGUGGGGUAAAGGCCUACCAAGGCGACGAUCCGUAACUGGUCUGAGAGGAUGACCAGUCACACUGGAACUGAGACACGGUCCAGACUCCUACGGGAGGCAGCAGUGGGGAAUAUUGGACAAUGGGCGAAAGCCUGAUCCAGCCAUGCCGCGUGUGUGAAGAAGGUCUUCGGAUUGUAAAGCACUUUAAGUUGGGAGGAAGGGCAGUAAGUUAAUACCUCGCUGUUUUGACGUUACCAACAGAAUAAGCACCGGCUAACUUCGUG
This 484-nucleotide ribosomal RNA is filed under the name uncultured bacterium. Its description in RNAcentral is "partial 16S ribosomal RNA". It matches the Rfam family "Bacterial small subunit ribosomal RNA", at positions 30 to 507 of the family's 1533-position model. The record is from RNAcentral.